GAUUUUGCAGCCAUGAUGAGUUGUUGCAGAACUUCUUCAAGUCGUCGAAUAGCCCUGAUAAGACUCCCUUCGAAAACUUGGGUAAUUUCCAUAAUUUCGUAGAACUUGGAACCUUUAGCCCAUGCAUACACAGCUUCCAUGAUGUCUGAACGAAAAGAAUGUACGUAACUUUCAACGUCAAUUUGGACCUGCAAUUGCAAAUUUGAUUUUCUGUUUAUUCAUUAUUUUAGAGUUGGAAAAUGAACUUUUCAAAAAUUGGAAGAAAAAAGUCAUCAAAAUGGACGAUUCUAAUUGCAAUAUUGAAUAAUACAAAUUUGUGUGAAGUGGUCAUUCACCCUUAAAUGUUUACAGGAUUUAAUGUCUAUAGGAUUUCAACCUUCAACUCAAACAAGAAGUGGAAAAUGGAAACCCAUAAAAAAAGUUCCAGUAUGAUUUUGAUAUCUCAUCGUGUUCACCUUAGUGUCACUCACUCUGAACAUGGUAAGAACGGUUAACUUUGAUGUUCUAAAUAUGGUGAAUUUUACUAUUUAGGCAUGUUUAAAGUUAUCAUAUUUAAAGUUUUAAACAGGUUCAGAACUAGAACAACACAUUAAACACGAUAUUUUGUAACUGUUUUUUUACAUCAAUAAUAAGUAGAAAUAUACAUUAGUUGACGACCCCCAACCCUCAUAAGUAAGACAAUAGAUAUCUUAUAAAAUAGUUGAAUGGUUUUUUAAAAGAAAAAACCCAUUAGCAUGCUUCUACAAUCUACAUAAAUAUUAUCAUUUCUUUUUUCCAAAAAAAAAAUGAUUUUUUGCCUUAUUUGCAGUAUAAAAGGAUGCAAGUAAAUAAAAAUUACCUUACACUCAAGUUGAACAUUGGCAACUCUUCUAGCUGUUUCUUGUAAAUGAGAAAAGAG
Molecule: long non-coding RNA, 898 nt
Filed under: Zostera marina
Lineage: Eukaryota; Viridiplantae; Streptophyta; Magnoliopsida; Alismatales; Zosteraceae
Description: long non-coding RNA (ZMAR_LNC002425)
Source: RNAcentral